AGGAAUAUUGGUCAAUGGCCGAGAGGCUGAACCAGCCAAGUCGCGUGAGGGAUGAAGGUUCUAUGGAUCGUAAACCUCUUUUAUAAGGGAAUAAAGUGACCCACGUGUGGGUUUUUGUAUGUACCUUAUGAAUAAGGAUCGGCUAACUCCGUGCCAGCAGCCGCGGUAAUACGGAGGAUCCGAGCGUUAUCCGGAUUUAUUGGGUUUAAAGGGUGCGUAGGCGGCCUUUUAAGUCAGCGGUGAAAGUCUGUGGCUCAACCAUAGAAUUGCCGUUGAAACUGGGGGGCUUGAGUAUGUUUGAGGCAGGCGGAAUGCGUGGUGUAGCGGUGAAAUGCAUAGAUAUCACGCAGAACCCCGAUUGCGAAGGCAGCCUGCCAAGCCAUUACUGACGCUGAUGCACGAAAGCGUGGGGAUCAAACAGGAUUAGAUACCCUGGUAGUCCACGCAGUAAACGAUGAUCACUAGUUGUUUGCGAUACACUGUAAGCGGCACAGCGAAAGCGUUAAGUGAUCCACCUGGGGAGUACGCCGGCAACGGUGAAACUCAAAGGAAUUGACGGGGGCCCGCACAAGCGGAGGAACAUGUGGUUUAAUUCGAUGAUACGCGAGGAACCUUACCCGGGUUUGAACGCAUUCGGACCGAGGUGGAAACACCUUUUCUAGCAAUAGCCGUUUGCGAGGUGCUGCAUGGUUGUCGUCAGCUCGUGCCGUGAGGUGUCGGCUUAAGUGCCAUAACGAGCGCAACCCUUGCCACUAGUUACUAACAGGUAAAGCUGAGGACUCUGGUGGGACUGCCAGCGUAAGCUGCGAGGAAGGCGGGGAUGACGUCAAAUCAGCACGGCCCUUACAUCCGGGGCGACACACGUGUUACAAUGGCGUGGACAAAGGGAAGCCACCUGGCGACAGGGAGCGAAUCCCCAAACCACGUCUCAGUUCGGAUCGGAGUCUGCAACCCGACUCCGUGAAGCUGGAUUCGCUAGUAAUCGCGCAUCAGCCAUGGCGCGGUGAAUACGUUCCCG
This 1018-nucleotide ribosomal RNA is filed under the name uncultured bacterium. RNAcentral's name for it is "bacterial SSU rRNA". It matches the Rfam family "Bacterial small subunit ribosomal RNA", at positions 357 to 1376 of the family's 1533-position model. The record is from RNAcentral.